Molecule: long non-coding RNA, 218 nt
Filed under: Mytilus galloprovincialis (Mediterranean mussel)
Lineage: Eukaryota; Metazoa; Mollusca; Bivalvia; Mytilida; Mytilidae
Source: RNAcentral
GGGCGUAUAAAAAUCAAGUUGAUAUAGUUAAAUUGAUUAUUGACAGUAGAUUUAUAUUGCCUGAUAUUAACAGUUGUACUGAUUUAGACAAAAUUUAAAAAAUGUCUACCGAUAUGUACGUGCUUUAGGUUGCAUACCAAGAGAACUUGCAUUCUGCAGAAACUGUGAAUCCGUCCGAUGAACUGUAUUUAAAAGUAAAACCAAAUAUUGAACAUUUG